Long non-coding RNA from Alosa alosa (allis shad), 457 nucleotides. RefSeq lists it as uncharacterized. The record is from RefSeq and is a predicted model, not a curated record. Lineage: Eukaryota; Metazoa; Chordata; Actinopteri; Clupeiformes; Clupeidae. The transcript has 3 exons.
GUGGUCUGUUUUAGCUUACUUUGUGUUUCAUACAACUAAUACAUUCCAGAAACAUUUAAUUGAUAAUCAUUGUAAUAAGUCAUCUAAACAAACCUCUCCCAGCAGCAGGUCCGUUUAACUUGCUAUAGUAAACACACCGUAUUGUAUGGGUAUCAUACUCUGUCCUCGCUACAUAACAACAUGAAGACCACCUGAACAUAUGGAUGCAUUGGAGCAUGGACCUAAAGAAGAGCGAGCUCUUCUAAGAGAACGAUGUAUUCAAUUGUUGUUUUCAAUGAAAAAAAAUGAGACAGAGGUUAUACCAAGUGACUGGCUGAGCAUCGAUAAAAAAAUGUCCUUUUGGCCCCCAUAUAAUACUACUAAAUGUAGAAAAGCGGUUGAAAAAAAUGAAACCCCUGAUGAAGAAUGGGAAGAAUAUAUAACUGAAUGGGUGGCUGAGUAUGAUUCCUAUGAAAAA